CUAAAUAUAGGGAUAUACACUGAAAAUCACAAGCAGCCGUUUCUUUACAAUAGAGACCUAACGCCUAAGACUAGACAGAAGGGGCCAUUUCUGAUCUUAAAAAUCACACACACCUUCAUCUUCUUCAGGGAAUAAUGCAAUAACAACGCCUAUACCAAAGAGAUCAGCGGCAAAAAUAAAAGAAGGAGGCCAGACCUCAUCUUCUUGUUCACCUUCUCAACCAUGGACACAAGAAACCUAGCAAAAAAUCUUCAACACUCUUGAACCUCUUCGAGAUGACCAGCCGCGACACAUAGAAGAGCCCAUCACCGGACUUCUUUGUUCACCACACAUCUGCCAUCUCCGGUAAAGCUUCACCUCACACACCCUCACCCUUCUCCUACACGCCCUGAACUAAGAGAACCACAUGAAACCAUUGGAGCCACUGCUGCUUCUUCACUCGUGAACACACACAGCAGCAGUCGAUAUCCUCACUCCCACCAGCCGAGAAAUAACUCCAAAUCAGGAGUUACUGUCAUGGAGUUUGUUGGGUCUAUUUUCUGAUUUAGUCUAAGUUUUCCGGUGAGCGUCGAGGUUGUCGUUAAUCCUUGUUGCCGACUUACGACGAGGUUGUUUGUUCAAGCUUUAAUUCUGAGAUUCGAGGUUGCUUGUAGCAAUGAAGGUUCAUUCUUUACCCUAUUUCAUCUCCAGUUCAUUUUACUAGCUUAGUAAAUAAUUUUGGGUAAGACUUUUCCGUGAUGUUUUGAUCCUCAACUGAAUUAAUUCAUUUGGUUAUUUGGAGUUAUAUGACUGUUUUGACUUUCUUAUAAGACUUUGCUGAAAUAUUUAUAUAUAUUCAUGAUAAUAAUCUCAUGUCGGUUUGGUUCAAUUAGGUGCCUUAUGAAAUUGUUAAGUUAGUCUUUAUAGUCGGUGUAAGUGAGAGUUGCAUCUUCAGAAUAUAAGUAUUAGAGACAAAAUAAACGGAAUUGGCUUCAAAAUCUUUUACUGUUUCGAUUCAUUAAUCAAGAUUUGGCUAUCGUUUAGUGUAAGCUUGUUGUAAAAAAUGAGCUUUGGAAUAAUAGGUUUGGGGUUUAAAAGUUGAAUAAUUCAUGAACUUUGUAGUUUGCUUUAGGCGAUUAAUAAUGAUUAUCAUGGCUACGGGUACGAUUCCCAUGACGUAGUUGUGAUUUGUAAUUGCUAAAAUUCGGGUGCAUAUUUAUGUGACCCAAAUCCGAAUCUCAACAAUGUUAUAUAAAAUGUGUUGUCGACUGCAGGUGCAUUUAUGUGACGUGAUUCAAGACAUAUUUUAAAUAACGUUGCAAUCUUCCUAAAAAUGAAUAAAAGCGGUUGAUAAGUUAAAAUUGAACNNNNNNNNNNNNNNNNNNNNNNNNNUUCCUCGAUUCGGGAUUUGAACUGGUGAUUUGGAACACCAUAAAUUAUCCCAAGUGGCGACUCUGAAUCUUUAAAUGAAAUAAUCCCGUUUCGAUUGUCCUUUAAUUGGAAAAACUCCCUUAUAUACUCCCUUCCGUGGGUGUAGGAAAAAGGAGGUGUGACAGUGUGUAGAUUGCAAAGAUCUAAACAAGGCAUGCCCUAAAUAUUCUUUCUCGUUGCCUAACAUCGAUCGGAUGAUCGAUGCGAUGACCAGGCAUGAGAUACUCAGUUUUCUCGAUGCCUAUUCGGGGUACAACCAAAUUCGAAUGGACCCCGAAGUUCAAGAAAAGACUUCGUUCAUCACUAAAUUUUGCACUUACUGUUAUAAUGUAAUGCCUUUUGGAUUAAAGGAUGCCGAUGCCACCUAACAAUGCCUAGUAAACUAGAUGUUAGAAGAACAGAUAGGUAAAACAAUGGAAGUUUAUAUUGACGACAUGUUAGUCAUGUACCUGCGAGCAGAGGACCAUUUGAAGCAAUUGCAGGAGACUUUCGACAUAUUGCAUAUAUACAAUAUGAAACUGAACUCAGAAAAGUGCGCAUUCGGGGUCGAAUCAGGAAAAUUCCUCGAGUUCAUGUUAUCCAAUUGAGGAAUCGAGAUCAACCCCGACAAAAUCAAAGCCAUAGAGGACAUCACCAUGGUGGACAACAUCUAGAUUUUCCAAAGACUGACCGGGCGAAGAGCUGUCUUACGCCAUUUCAUCUCGAGGUCAUCAGACAAAAACCAUCGAUUCUUCUCACUAUUAAAAAAGGAAGAAUAAUUUCUCCUAGAAGUAUUCAAAGAGUACCUAUCGAGUCCGCCCCAGUUGCUCACUCCGAAGGAAGAUGAACUGUUGUACCUCUACUUGGCGGUUUUCGAGGUAGCAGUAAGUGGAGUCUUAGUUUGGGAGGAAGAAGGUAUGCAAUUCCCUAUUUACUAUGUUAGUAGAACUCUAGGAGAGGCCGAAUCAAGGUAUCCUCACCUGGAAAAAUUAGCGCUCACUUUGCUAAGCGCCUCCAGGAAGCUAAAGUGGUACUUUCAAUGCCACCCCAUAUGUAUCGUUAUUUCUUACCCACUAAGGAACAUCAUGCACAAGCCCGAGCUCUAGGUCCGGUUAGCCAAAUAGGCAGUGGAAAUUAGCGGGUACGAUAUCGAGUAUCUACCCCAAACCGCCAUAAAAUCUAAGAUUUUGGCAGACUUCAUGGCUGACUUUAUGCCAACCUUAGUACCUGAAGUCGAAAGGGAACUAUUGUUAACCUCGGGGAUCACUUCGGGAAUGUGGACCCUUUUCACGAACGGUGCCUCGAAUGCGAAGGGUUCCGGGAUCGGGAUCGUAUUGAAACGACCUACAGGGAAUAUAAUUAGGCAGUCUAUUAGAACUGUAAAAUUGACUAAUAAUGAGGUCGAGUGUGAGGCCAUGAUUGCAGUUCUUGAACUGGCUAAAAGCCGUAAGGUCGACGUGAUCGAAGCUAAAUGGGACGUUUGAAGUAAAGGAAGAUCGGAUGCGAAGUACUUGGUCAAAUUAUAGGUGACCUUGCAUCGAUUCAGGGAAUGGAUCCUAUAGCACGUACCUCAAGAUCAAAACAACGAGGCCGAUACACUAGCUAACUUGGGGUCAUCGGUCGAUGCUGAUGAAUUUAGUUCGGGAACAAAUAGUACAUCUAAUGAAAUUAGUGAUAGAGGAGGGCCAUACCGAAGUAAACUCAAUGAGUUUAACUUGGGAUUGGAGGAACAAAUACAUAGACUACCUGAAAACCAGAAAAUUGCCUUCAGAUCCUAAAUAAUCGAGAGCCUUGCGCAUCAAGGCUACUAGAUUUAAAUUGGUUGAAGGGGCAUUGUUCAGGAGAACCUUCGAUGGCCCGCUAUCUUGAUUCUUGGGUUUGGAGAGACCGAAUACGCCAUGAGGGAAGUUCACGAAGGCACUUAUAGUAACAAUUCAGUGGUAGAAUCUUUGGUUCGGAACUAAUUAGGCCGGCUAUUGUUGGACCUAAAUGGAGAAAGAUGCGAAGGACUUCGUAUGGAAAUUUGACGAUUGCCAAAGACACGCCCCGAUGAUUCAUCAACCGAGAGAAAUGCUCCACUCAAUUUUGUCCCCGUGGCCAUUUAUGAAGUAGAGGAUGGACAUCGUCGGCCCUCUUCCAUGGGCACCUGGUAAAGUUCAAUCAUAUUAUUCAUGACCGAUUAUUUUUUUCAAUUGGGUCGAGGCUCAAGCAUUCAAAAAGGUCCGGGAGAAAGAAGUCAUUGACUUCAUCUGGGACCACAUAAUAUGUCAAUUUAGGAUACCGACAAAGAUCAUUUGCGAUAAUAGAAAGCAAUUCGUCGGUAUCAAGGUGAAUAAAUAUUUCGAAGAUCACAGGAUCAAGAAGAUUUUAUCAACGCCUUAUCACCCUAGUGGGAACGGACAUGUAGAAUCAAAGAACAAGACCAUACUUUAAAACCUGAAAAAGAGGUUUACCGGGGAGAAAGGGAAAUGGAAGGAGAUCCUGCCUAAAGUCUUGUGGGCGUACCAUUUGACUUCAAAGUCUAGUACCAGAGCCACCCUAUUUUCCUUGGUCUACGGAACCAAAGCCUUGAUACCAGUCGAGGUGGAGAGACAAGCCUAAAGUUCCAGUAUGCGAUCGAAGAGCCAAUGACGAGGCCAUGAUCACGAACCUAAAACUAUUGGAUGAAAGGUAGGAGGCCGCCCUGGUCCGUUUAGCCGCCCAAAAAUAAUGAAUAGAAAGGUAUUACAACUGAAGAACCAGCCUGCAACACUUUCACGUCGAGGACGUGGUAUUGAGGAAAGUAAAAUUACACACUACGAACCCGAACGAAGGAAAGCUGGGACCGAACUAGGAAGGAUCGUAUCGAGUUGUCGGAAUAACCAGCAAAGGCACGUAUAAACUCGAAGCGGGAAAUGGCGUACAACUACCGAAUAAUUAGAAUGUGGCACACUUAAAGCGACACUACUGCUAAGGUACGAACUCAAUUAUUUUUUUAGUCAUGUUAUAAAUCGGACUAAUAUAUGCAGGUAAUCGGACAAGGACGGAUGUGGCUAUUAUGUUUGAAAACACGUGUUACACUCUUUUUCCCUUGAACCAGUUUUGUCCCGAAGUAGAUUUUUCGGUAAGGUUUUUAACGAGGCAACAAUAAAAUGUGCUAACUUUGAUUUGAAGAUCGGUUUCAAACCGAAGUCAAUGAUCGUUUGCUUCAGGUCAACAUUAUCCGAGCCCUCACGAGUUUGAGCUCGAAUACUUGGGGCCAUUACCCUCGGAUUAAGGUAUUUAGCAAGGAAAGAAGAAAACUUAAUGUGCUAUAAGCUAAGGCUUGGCGGUUAGAAUUCAUUGUAAGGGAAAAACGAUCGUAUGAACCAUGUCCACAUAGUCCGCUCUAGCCAUGGAACAAGUUUUUAUCCUCUUUCAAUCAUGCACCUUGCAUACCAAGAAAUGAAUGAAAUUUCCACUUCCCUUAUGAUUUUUCAUUACGCGUUUGUUUCUUCGAUUCUGGAUCGUAAAAGCUCACGGGCUACCCCUACCUGGGGACUAUCGAACCUACGGGCUACCCCUACUCAAGGACUGUCGCCCGAUGAAAGUUCGGGCAGCCCAGGCUGCCGAAUCCCAAAGGUACCAAAUCUAUUAGGCGGUGCCUAAAUAUAAAAGGCUACAACCACCCUAAAAAUGGCUUAGAGAUGUUCGAAGUCCGAAACCAGAAAGUACGGUCUUUACGAAUAUUCGAAACCUACUUAAAGGUUAUCAUCAGCAAAAACAUCAUCUAAAACACUUAAGUAUCUUGAAAACCCCAAGUCACACCGAGGGUUCGAAGCCACAAGCAAACAAAGUUGUGCCGAAGUCGGGCUUCAUUCAAUCCUCCGAAAAACGAAUGCCCCAGAACUAUAUCUGGUUACGCUAAGGCAUCAAAAAUAAUACACAAAUAGAAAUUGCAAGAAAAUGCUGGAAAAAUAAAGACACGUUAUUGCCAAAAAGGGAAAGUUUUUAUACAUUCCAAAAUAUAUUUACAAGGGCCCGAUAAAACAGCCUCGGGAUAAAUGAAAAAAUAUAUACAUGAGAAAAACUGGAAAAAUACUAAGGCACCAACAACUAGUCUUCACCAGGGCCAGACUUGUUGCCAGAACAAUCAAAGCUCUCAGAGCCCUCGAAACCUCCAGAACCUUCGGGACACCCAGGCUCGUAUAGUUCCAUCGCCUCAGCCUCAAGCUCCCUAGCUUCUUCAACCUCGUUUGAUAGUUCAAAACCUCGGGCAUGAAUCUAUUCGAGGGUCUCUCUUUGGGACAACUGCUUCUUGUACUCAGUCUUUAUUUUUAAGUGGGUCUCGGCUGCCUCCACAUUGGCCUUGUACUGAGCCACCAUUUCCUUGGCAUCAUCAGAGAUUGUGUCCAAUUUGGACCAUAGUGCUACAUAUUCUCUUCCGAGAGCAUCCUAUUCCGUGACGGCCAAGCUCAGUUGUGCCUGGAGAUCAUCGUUCAACCUAGACCAUUUAUCGGCUUUGUCCUUCGCCACCCGAAGUUGGUUCUCGACCAAUGCUAGCUCCGCCAUCGUAGCUUCCUUUUUCGAGGCCAGGAGGUCCAUCCUACCCUUCCACACUUUGGUCUGGGCCUUGACCUUGUCCAUCUCAGCCCGCAGCUGGUCGAUCAGGUCUAUCUUCUAUUGGACCUGCAAAGUUGUGUUGUUAGUCACCAUGAAUAGUUGCUCGUUUUUAGCUUCAAAGACUUUUACCUUCUCAACAAAGUCAGCAUGUUCCCGCUUUAGGGUCGAGGCCUCCUUCUGAGCUUUUUCCAGCUUAGCUUGGAGAAACAGGAGGUCUUUAAGGGCCUCGUCUUGUUGCUCACUAAGAGCCUUGUACAUGUCCUUCUUCCGGACCUACUCUAUGAGCUCGAACUCGAGCUGGAUGAUUUCCAAGUGGUACUAGAGGAAGCUUUCAUGAUGAAGCAAUGAAGCCUGUAAAAUGAUGAAAUUAGUAAGAGACAUCAAAGGAAAACCUUAUGGGAUUCAUAAAGGGGUAGAGAAGUGUUAGCGCCCCAUACCAGGUUCAGCGCCUAUUGCGCCUCAUUGAAAAGAAUUGACGUGCCCACCUCAUUUAUCUUUGCCUGGUACUCCUCAAUCACCAGGCAUCAAAGGUAGUUGGAUAUGCCCACGGGAGCAGACAUGACCCGAGCAUCCUCCGAAAUUGUGAGAACGACCGUUCUCUUACGCCCUGUCACACCUUCUUUUUUUCCUACACCCCGGAAGAGGUGUUUAAUAAGGGAGUUUUUUCCAACUUAAAGUGACAAUCGAAAAGGGAUUAUUUAUUUAAGAAUCAGAGUCGCCACUUGGGAUAAUUUAUGGUGUCCCAAGUCACCGGUUCAAAUCCCGAAUCAAGGAAAAGAUUGACUCUGUAUAUCAGUCUGCGAACGCAGAAAUCCGGGUAAGGAAUUUUGUUAACCCGAGAGAAGGUAUUAGGCAUUCCCGAGUUCCGUAGUUCUAGAACGGUCGCUCAACCUUUAUAAUCGGUCUAUUAUCUGAUUUUAAUACAUGUUUUAACCUAUGGUUCAAUUUUAACUUUAUAACCGCUUUAAUUAAUUAUUAGGAAGAUUCAACAUUAUUUAAAAUACGUCUUGAACCACGUCACAUGAAAUGCACCCGCGGUCCACAACACAUUUUGUUUAACGUUGUUGAGAUUUGGAUUUGGGUCACAUGAAAUGCAUACCCAAGUUUAAGGAAAUUAAUUUAAAUUGUGUGCCUAAAGCAAUUACGCACUUUCAAGUUUGCGAGGGCCAUGGAAAAUUUACUAAUGGCACACCUCGAUUUCUAAAGAGUUAAACUUAAUUAAGUGAGGGCCCUUACCCAGACGCAUUCAAGCUUGGGCUCACAAUGAACCCAAUCUGUUAGUGAAAAAGAACGUCUAAGUACGUGUAACGGGCUGCCAAGUCUGACAUUGAUCCUUCCACAAUUGGGCCAAUACUAAGCCCAAUUCUUAGAACCAGCACUUGUGCACAAUCAAUUAACCUUUAACCAGUCGAUACUACGUGAAAACAAGAAAUUAGAUUAAUCAAAGAAUUCUGAAUUUUAAUCAUUUGGCACAAGUUAACCAACUAAAGCUUCCAACACAUUCUUUUGGGGUUUAAUCUGUUAUGAAAAAAAAUCCAGCAACAAACGAACAAGCUGAUGGGCUCCCAAAAUGAGCCCAAACAGCAUUGAUGUCCUGUUCUUUCCUGCACAUGGCCCAAACGCCCAAUGCCUAAAGAAUUCCAAAACUCUCCAAGCCAAGGCUAAGAGACAGACUGCAUUAUCGAGUUUACACUAGGGCAUACUACCAUUUGCAUCCAAAGAGAAGCUUACUAAAUUAUCAUUGCACAUCAAUGGAGACAUAAAACAAUUUCAGAGGAUACUAAAAGUUUAUGCUUGACUUUAACUACCUGACAUUCAUGUUUGAAUUCAGUCUUAAACUAAACUUAUAAGACAAAACUCGAACUUAAACUCAAUUAAUUACUUUCUCAAUAUCAGUAGUAACGGACUCUAGGAGAUUAAGCACUGUUCACUUAAGUAGAAUCAACAUCCCAAAUUCUUAAAGAGCACAGGAUUAUUUUUUACGACAUGCUAUUGACAUAGGACAACAGAGGUAGCAUACGUAAUCCAAGGCUUGUUACAAGACAUCAAAGAAUAUAGAAGAAGCAGAUGAAAUAAGAAAUCAAAAGGACUUGUAUUCAAUCAGGCUUCAGCUCAACAUACAUCUCCCUAAUCACUUGUUGACAAUGGUUUGGAAAAAUACCUGGAUAAGUAAAAAAAUAAGAGCAGAAUAUAAAACUGGAGAUCAAAGGAAAGUAGCAACAAUAGAAACCAGCAGUGUAACAGUGCAGGAACCCAGGUUUAAACAAUAAAACAGUAACACCCAAACAGCAACACUUAAAACAAGCUUCUGAAUAUCCAAAAUUCAAUCCAUUUCAACCUAAUUGCAUGAUUUUGUUAUUUUCAAUAGUGUUAAUCAAGCAAUGAAGAUCAGCAACCCAGAAACCAGACCAAUUUCGAGUAGUUUUUAACAAGGGAAUGUAAGGAGUUCAAAAGUAUUUCAGAACUUUCCAAAGAAGGAAGCCGUUUCAGUUUUUUACGAUCUUUUUCUCUAAAUUUUUCCUUUUUUUUCAAUCUCAGGUAAUGAUGCCUUUAUAGGCAAGCUAUUAGGGUAGCAAUGCUGAAAAUAAUUUUUCAUUUUACACCUUUUGAAAUUUUUGUUUUAGCUUGGAUACCCUUAGCUUAAAACUCAGAAUUUCACAUAAGUUCCCACCCCAGCUUCCAAGAAACUUCCUAUUCAGUUAUUGGAGAUUCCCUUCACCUAGAGUUCCUAAAUUACCCUUACAACCCCUGUUAUUUACCAUUCAAUUAACUUGGGUUAAGUUAGACCACAGUCAAAAUAAACCAGCCUCUUAAACUAGGUCAGUGGUGACCAUGGUUACUAUGAGGGGCUUGAAUACUCAGAAAUGAUUAAACGAAACCAUAAAAAAGAACAAAUCCAACACUGAAGGGUAAACCAUCCUGAUUUUAGGCUUGAGCUAAUUUUAGCUAAUCAAAACUAAGAAUUGAACUUCACUAUUAAAGCUAAUCAGUCAAAUCAAAGCAAAAAAAAAAGAACAAAUAAAACUGAACCAAAUGAAAAAUAGGAAAUACUACAGUGCAUAAAAUUGAUGAGAGAAAGGAAGGGGAAAAAAAAUACCAAACAUGCUGGAAUGCCUUGACAACAUGAGGCGUGUCGAUGGGGAGUUGACAAUUGGCUUGGAACUUUGAUGAACUUGUCGAACUCUGCCCUUCCCGGAAUGAAUUAAAAUCAAUGUCGGUUGAUUGUUCUCAUUAAGAACAAUCAAAUAGCAUAGAUCAUAAUUCAAAACGAAGAUAGGCCUUGACCGGAAUCAGAAGAAGAAAGAGAUUAGGGAUCAAAUAUUCUUAGAUUUGGGGCUGGGAAGGUUUUGUUGGGGUUUUCCAGAAACAAGCGUGUGGACAAGCUUUGGGACGGUUUGGGCUUUACCUGGUAUGGGUGAGUUGAGGUUUGAAGGUCCAAGAUUCGAUCAAAAAUUCGACGAGCUCUACGGUGAUUCAAUGGAAACAAAUGACGGAUUCUUUAUAAGGGGAAGAGAGGAUGCUAUGGUGUAAAUCUGGUGUUGAUUGGAGGUCAACCGCCGCCGCUGGCGAUUUUCGGUGGGCGGCGGACGGUGGUGAGAGGAGGGUGUGAUGAAGAAGAUGAUACUAAGUUAAUGUUCUAAGGUUUUCGGACAUUCUUAUGUGAUUAUGGUGAGGCUUUGCUGGCCGUUCGAUGAAGAGGAAUGAAAGGCUCAGAUUGAUUUGUCCUCAAGAAACUCAAAACAACGUAGUAUUGGCCUGAUACUACGUCGUUUGAAUUGUUUAGGAGUUUGAAGGUUGGACUGGGUUGGGGCAUGGUUUGGGCAGGUUUUGGACGGGUUUAAAGGCAGAAAAUUUGGGCUUUUUAAAUGGUUUUAGCCCAAAUCAGAUUUCCCUUUUUUUUGUUUUUCCCUUUUCUUUCAAUUUCUUUCAAAUUAAAAUUAAAAAAUAACCUAAAUUAAUUCCUAAUCCUAUUAUGCUAUCAAAUUACAUUAACUAACUCUAAAUAACAAUUAUCACAAAUGAUUAAAAAAGACCAAAUUAAAAGAAAACUACCAAAAUUCAAAGUGCAAAAUAAACUAUUUUUGUGACUUUUCCCACUUUUAUAAAAUAACUAAUUUACCACCUAAAAAUGUAAAAUUAAAUACUACAUGCAAAUGCAACAUAUUUUUUGUAUUUUUCAUUAAUUAAAUAAAUAUGCACAAACAAAUGCAAACAAUUAACGAAAAAUGCCACAAAAAUCCACGAAAUUGCAAACAACGGAAAAAAUUAUUUUGUUUUAAAUUUGUGGGAGUAAUUCAUAUAGGGCAAAAAUUAUGUGCUCACAGCUGCCCCUCCCCUCUUUGCUCGGAAACACGAAGAGUUUUCGUGCAAAGAUAAAGUGAGCAUAUACGAGUGAUUUUUGCCCGUUUGAAUACUCCGUGAGAAGCAAUUUUGAAAGAUUUGACCGUACCCUGCUUCCGAGGUUGCCUACAUAUUCUUGGCUAUAAAGGAAUCAGGUCGGUGUAGUUCGGGGAGUUUCGGUAGCUAGGACUACUAUGAAGCUGUGAUUUCACUGUUGCUGUUGUUGCUGCUACUGCUCACUGAACUCCUUAUUACACCUUGUCAAAAUAAAAAGAAGCUAGACUAGACUAUGAUCUAUGCAUUACAAGAAUCCUAUCUAUAUCUUCGAACUUGCUCUUGUGGUUCUUGUUGCCUUGUUGACUUGUAUUCUCCCGGUGAAAUCCCUUUGUUGCCAACCUGAAUUGUAAUCUGAGAUGUUUUCCCUUUCUCCAGGUGGAUGCCUGACUGCUGAACUUGAAUUAUAUUCCUGUGCUCUCUAGGUGGGUGCCUGACUGCUGAACUUGAAUUGUAUACCCGUGCUCUCCAGGUGGGUGCCUAACUGUUGAACUUGAAUUGUAUUCCCGUGCUCUCUAGGUGGGCGCCUGACUGCUGAACUUGAAUUGUAUUCCCGUGCUCUCUAGGUGGGUGACUGAUUGCUGAACUUGAGAUGUAUUCCCGUGCUCUCCAGGUGGGCGCCUGACUGCUGAGCUUGAAUUCUAUUCCCGUGCUCUCCAGGUGGGCGCAUGACUGCUAAACUUGAAUUGUAUUCCCAUGCUCUCUAGGUGGGCGCCUGACUGUUGAACUUGAAUUGUAUUCCAGUGCUCUUCAGGUGGGCGCCUGACUGUUGAGCUUGAACUGCUUCUCCCUGUUCUCCAAGUGGGUACCUGAUUUCAACAAAA
Molecule: long non-coding RNA, 11189 nt
Filed under: Nicotiana tabacum (common tobacco)
Lineage: Eukaryota; Viridiplantae; Streptophyta; Magnoliopsida; Solanales; Solanaceae
Description: long non-coding RNA (NTAB_LNC016656)
Source: RNAcentral